CUCCAUGACGUGACUCCAUGACGUGAUUCCAAUCUCGACGUGACAUCGGGAGUGCGUAAAUUGCAGAAUUAACAGCUACCCCACUUCUUGUGAGUUUUGACUCUGGUCAUUUGUCAUUUGAACCUUUGAAAGAGAGACAGCUAAAGUUAGACAAAGGUCUGAAUCUAUUGGACCGGACAUUAAAUGGACAUUACCUGUGUACUGAUGACAUCUAUGUACUGCCUCAAGCUACACUCUACCCUGGCACCACCCCUCGUCUAAACCAAACGGAACAUUUCCAGCAGGGACACAGAAAAACAACUACAAGGAUUUUGUGAGGCGUUGAGGGAGGGCAGCUGUUGCUCCACAAGACACCAGUGGUCAUCCAUGUUGUCAUUUCGGGCACAGAAGUCAAUGCAGCAGGCAGGACAAAACAAUGUUUUCGCACCUAGGUCUGCCAACAGAUGAGAGAUGGCUGGACACUGACAUCAUUACUUAGGACUGGACCCUGCUGGAGUGGGAUGUGGCAUGAUUGUUGGACUUUCAGAGAUGAGGAUUAAACCCACUGACCUGUUUGCUGAAGUCAUUUCCCUCUUAUCUCCAACUUCUGUUAUGUGGGAUGGGAGGCUGUUGUAUUCAACUGCAAAGUCAAAUGUGUCUGUGAUUCCUUGUUAUUGGAGUUUUGUCAUAGAAGCUUGCUCAGUCAUUGUUUGUGGUUUCUUGAUUUCAUUUCAAAAGGAACUGUUUAAACUCAACAUUUCUUGUGUAAUAUUGUCUAUCAAGGCUGCACUGCUUUGAAUUUGAACUGAUGAAGUAAAUAUGUUCUUGCCUCUGCGGGGCUACACUUAACUAACUGUACCUUUCAGAUUGGUUGAAUGUUCCAACAAAUAUAGGUUGACAUCCUCAUUGAUGCACCAGUGAGGGAGAAAGAUUACUGGUCCUUUUAGUUAUUUAGGACAUAGAUGCGGCAGUUCUUGGGAUUUUGGGGUGAAAGCACAAACCUACUGUAUGUUACACCUUCUUGGUGAAGGGUGUGUAACAACACACCUUACUCAGGUCAAAGAUGGGGUUAGCAGUUAGAACCAUAUCUAGACCAUAGACCAUAUGGCUUAGGCAUUCCUAAUUGGGGGAAAUUCUAGGAAAUAAGCCACACACACACACACACGCA
Long non-coding RNA from Lates calcarifer (barramundi perch), 1147 nucleotides. RefSeq lists it as uncharacterized. The record is from RefSeq and is a predicted model, not a curated record. NCBI's taxonomy places the organism in Eukaryota, Metazoa, Chordata, Actinopteri, Centropomidae. The transcript is spliced from 3 exons.